UUCGGUGCUGACUGGGGUCCACUUCCCCUUCCCAGCCCCACACAAACCCCUACGCAUUCCUCUCAGCCUGACCUCAAUAAAGACGGUUCCAAUUCAUCUCAUGAAGAGCACAGCAAUGGCAAUAGUCAAAAAGAGCGGCAGCUUGAGGAUGAUUUCGACGCCUUUACAUCCUCGAAAGUGGCUGAUCUCGCGAAGCCGCUGAAGGAAGCACAGAUCCCUUAUAAGAUCCACA
Molecule: unclassified non-coding RNA, 232 nt
Filed under: Hevea brasiliensis (rubber tree)
Lineage: Eukaryota; Viridiplantae; Streptophyta; Magnoliopsida; Malpighiales; Euphorbiaceae
Source: RNAcentral